AUUUGCGCAGGAUAGGUGGGAGGCUUUGAUGGUAUUUUUGCGGAAAUAUCGGAGCCAUUGGUGAGAUACCACUCUUGUAAAGCUAGAAUUCUAACCUUAUAUCGUAAUCCGGUUAAGGAACAGUCUCUGGUGGGCAGUUUGACUGGGGCGGUCGCCUCCCAAAAGGUAACGGAGGCGCACAAAGGUUUCCUCAGAUCGGUCAGAAAUCGAUCGUAGAGCGUAAAGGCAUAAGGAAGCUUGACUGCGAGACCUACAAGUCGAGCAGAGACGAAAGUCGGUCUUAGUGAUCUGACGGUUCCGAGUGGAAGGGCCGUCACUCAACGGAUAAAAGUUACUCUAGGGAUAACAGGCU
This 352-nucleotide ribosomal RNA is filed under the name uncultured eukaryote. Its description in RNAcentral is "LSU rRNA". It matches the Rfam family "Bacterial large subunit ribosomal RNA", at positions 2132 to 2483 of the family's 2925-position model. The record is from RNAcentral.